Molecule: unclassified non-coding RNA, 400 nt
Filed under: uncultured fungus
Lineage: Eukaryota; Fungi
Description: sequence contains ITS1
Rfam family: 5.8S ribosomal RNA (bases 1-101)
Source: RNAcentral
GAAGUGCGAAAAGUGUCAUGACUUGCAGAUUCCCGAGAGCUGACAAAUCUCUGAAUGCAAAUGGCGGCCGGACAAGACCGGUCAUGCAUCGUAGAGUGUAGAUGCUCCAGCACAUCAUCACGCAUCAAAUUCUUUUGAUUGCGUGGAUCUGCGCUAGUGGUUCUACCGCGAGCGUGAAAUGCAGAGGAGAGUGUGUUUGCCUGGAAGCCUGGUGAUUUCGGUCACACAGUUCCACGGUCGCACGCUUGGAUAUGAUCUUUUUUAUAUCUGGGAAUGUGUUACUGUGGGCCUGGGGUUCUCUAAUGCUCACCUCUUCCAACCUUACUAUAGAUUCCAUGUCUCACGACGUGGGAGAUAUAUUAAACUAUAUCUAUGAGCCACCUCUGCGAUGCAGGAUAAC